AUGGAUGUGUACGGCCACAAACUAAAACCAGGCCAGUGGAGUACGGCUGCAAUUUGGAUUUAUCCAGAGCGUUAUGGCGACUCACGUCCUCACUUCUAUACCCAAUGGACGAGAGACGGACAUGAAGCAACUGGAUGCUUCAACAUGGAUUGCCCUGGCUUCGUACGGGCGAAUGGCGCUGCCAUAUCUCCAGGUGAUGCUAUACAACCAGUUUCUGAUGUUCCCCAUGGGUACAUACAGAGUAUCACACUACGAGUGCUUAAGGACAAAAAAAGCGGAGACUGGUGGGUGUACUACGGCUUCAAUAGCGUUCCUACGGGGGUGGGAUAUUUCCCAAAGUCAUUGUUCACCUACCUGGCAAAUAAGGCAAACCAGUUGGCAUUUGGUGGUGCUGUGGUUGCCCACAGGGCGGCUUCAACUCCUCCGAUGGGUAGCGGUUCCUUCCCUAAUGGUGGUCAAGGGCGCGCUGCUUCUUUCACUAACCUUGGUAUCAUUGACGAGGAGGGGAACAGCAAGCCCAUCAUGGCAGACUUUCCCACGUUAGUUACUAAUAACAAAUGCCACUUUAUUACUCCUAUCAAUCAUGCUGCAUGCCUUUAUGGCGGUCCUGGAGGUUGUGUGAGAUAA
Molecule: ribosomal RNA, 627 nt
Filed under: Triticum aestivum (bread wheat)
Lineage: Eukaryota; Viridiplantae; Streptophyta; Magnoliopsida; Poales; Poaceae
Description: partial small subunit ribosomal RNA
Source: RNAcentral